This 449-nucleotide ribosomal RNA is filed under the name uncultured bacterium. RNAcentral describes it as "partial 16S ribosomal RNA". It matches the Rfam family "Bacterial small subunit ribosomal RNA", at positions 29 to 523 of the family's 1533-position model. The record is from RNAcentral.
AACGAACGCUGGCGGCAUGCCUAACACAUGCAAGUCGAACGAAGCCUUCGGGCUUAGUGGCGCACGGGUGCGUAACGCGUGGGAAUCUGCCCUUUGGCUCGGAAUAACAGUUGGAAACGACUGCCAAUACCGGAUGAUGACGAAAGCCCAAAGAUUUAUCGCCAGAGGAUGAGCCCGCGUAGGAUUAGCUAGUUGGUGUGGUAAAGGCGUACAAAGGCGACGAUCCUUAGCUGGUCUGAGAGGAUGAUCAGCCACACUGGGACUGAGACACGGCCCAGACUCCUACGGGAGGCAGCAGUGGGGAAUAUUGGACAAUGGGCGAAAGCUUGAUCCAGCAAUGCCGCGUGAGUGAUGAAGGCCCUAGGGUUGUAAAGCUCUUUUACCCGGGAUGAUAAUGACAGUACCGGGAGAAUAAGCCCCGGCUAACUCCGUGCCAGCCGCCGCCGUAA